GUUUGACCUCUUUGUAGCUAGCCU
RNAcentral lists this small RNA (24 nucleotides) under Arabidopsis thaliana (thale cress). The record is from RNAcentral. Lineage: Eukaryota; Viridiplantae; Streptophyta; Magnoliopsida; Brassicales; Brassicaceae.